AUGAGCUUAUACAUGCAGUAGACGCUGAAGAGAGGAGCUUGCUCUUCUUGGAUGAGUUGCGAACGGGUGAGUAACGCGUAGGUAACCUGCCUUGUAGCGGGGGAUAACUAUUGGAAACGAUAGCUAAUACCGCAUAACAAUGGAUGACACAUGUCAUUUAUUUGAAAGGGGCAAUUGCUCCACUACAAGAUGGACCUGCGUUGUAUUAGCUAGUAGGUGAGGUAAUGGCUCACCUAGGCGACGAUACAUAGCCGACCUGAGAGGGUGAUCGGCCACACUGGGACUGAGACACGGCCCAGACUCCUACGGGAGGCAGCAGUAGGGAAUCUUCGGCAAUGGGGGCAACCCUGACCGAGCAACGCCGCGUGAGUGAAGAAGGUUUUCGGAUCGUAAAGCUCUGUUGUAAGUCAAGAACGGGUGUGAGAGUGGAAAGUUCACACUGUGACGGUAGCUUACCAGAAAGGGACGGCUAACUACGUGCCAGCAGCCGCGGUAAUACGUAGGUCCCGAGCGUUGUCCGGAUUUAUUGGGCGUAAAGCGAGCGCAGGCGGUUUGAUAAGUCUGAAGUUAAAGGCUGUGGCUCAACCAUAGUUCGCUUUGGAAACUGUCAAACUUGAGUGCAGAAGGGGAGAGUGGAAUUCCAUGUGUAGCGGUGAAAUGCGUAGAUAUAUGGAGGAACACCGGUGGCGAAAGCGGCUCUCUGGUCUGUAACUGACGCUGAGGCUCGAAAGCGUGGGGAGCGAACAGGAUUAGAUACCCUGGUAGUCCACGCCGUAACGAUGAGUGCUAGGUGUUGGAUCCUUUCCGGGAUUCAGUGCCGCAGCUAACGCAUUAAGCACUCCGCCUGGGGAGUACGACCGCAAGGUUGAAACUCAAAGGAAUUGACGGGGGCCCGCACAAGCGGUGGAGCAUGUGGUUUAAUUCGAAGCAACGCGAAGAACCUUACCAGGUCUUGACAUCCCGAUGCUAUUUCUAGAGAUAGAAAGUUACUUCGGUACAUCGGUGACAGGUGGUGCAUGGUUGUCGUCAGCUCGUGUCGUGAGAUGUUGGGUUAAGUCCCGCAACGAGCGCAACCCCUAUUGUUAGUUGCCAUCAUUCAGUUGGGCACUCUAGCGAGACUGCCGGUAAUAAACCGGAGGAAGGUGGGGAUGACGUCAAAUCAUCAUGCCCCUUAUGACCUGGGCUACACACGUGCUACAAUGGUUGGUACAACGAGUUGCGAGUCGGUGACGGCGAGCUAAUCUCUUAAAGCCAAUCUCAGUUCGGAUUGUAGGCUGCAACUCGCCUACAUGAAGUCGGAAUCGCUAGUAAUCGCGGAUCAGCACGCCGCGGUGAAUACGUUCCCGGGCCUUGUACACACCGCCCGUCACACCACGAGAGUUUGUAACACCCGAAGUCGGUGAGGUAACCUUUGGAGCCAGCCGCUAAGGGACCAAG
RNAcentral lists this ribosomal RNA (1437 nucleotides) under Streptococcus thermophilus. Its description in RNAcentral is "bacterial SSU rRNA". It matches the Rfam family "Bacterial small subunit ribosomal RNA". The record is from RNAcentral. Lineage: Bacteria; Bacillati; Bacillota; Bacilli; Lactobacillales; Streptococcaceae.